UUCCUUUUGCUCCCUCCCAGACAUUCACCCAGUGGAUGUCUCACCUUUGUCUGAAGGCAGGACUGAGUUCUUCAGAUCCUGGUGAUGCAAGCACGGGUUUCCCUUUCUCCUGCAAGCACAACUAUAAGUACUUGCUGGAAGUGUGAAGGAGACAAAGAUGAGGAUGGAGGCAGUCCCCCGAGGCAGACCCUGUUCCAGUGCCCAGCUGUGCCAGCGAGGUUCGGCUCUGCCACCAUGGGACUGUGAGCAAACCCAACCGGGCCACGGCAAUGCUGGGCUCCCCUCCUUCCUCUGCUCCUCCAAUCCUUUUUGCAUCAUUCAAUGUACUCCUGUCUAACAGGACUUUAUGUCAUCGUUUUUCCCCAAAGUGGGAAAAAAGGAAAUAAUUAGGGGUGGCAGGUCUAGCCUGGCACGCAGCAACACCAUUAAGCAGGAGGCUGCUACGCUGGGUUGGUCUGGAGCCUCUUUAACAUUUUCAUUAGCUCUCCAAAGCUUUUGAUGUCCCUUAUUUACAACACAGACACUGCAGAGGAGGCAGGCAACGAUUAAGACAAGCUUUUACUCUUCUGGAGUUCACUGGGUACCUCGUGGCUACGGACCCUGCAUAUAAAGCAAUAUUGCUUAUUAUUCCAUGCUGUUUGUUCCAUUAAUCAUGAGCCUGCUUUGCUCUGGGAAGAGGAAUUGGAAUACAGCAAUAUUCUGUCUGCUUGUUUUUAAAAUACACGUGUGGGUGGACACUCCAGCUACUGCUCACAUUUUUCUCUCACAAGAAGAGCUGUUCGUGAUUCUCCUCCCCAGUGUUUUCUUCUGACACUGAUUUUGUUCGUCGAACUCGGGAAGGGAACUGCCUCAAGCCUGUCAACAAGAGUUGUAUGGAAAUAAGGAGUACUAACUGAGAAAUGCUUGAAAUUCAGCA
Lonchura striata (white-rumped munia) is the source of this 916-nucleotide non-coding RNA. NCBI's taxonomy places the organism in Eukaryota, Metazoa, Chordata, Aves, Passeriformes, Estrildidae. The record is from RefSeq and is a predicted model, not a curated record.